This 468-nucleotide ribosomal RNA is filed under the name uncultured bacterium. RNAcentral's name for it is "partial 16S ribosomal RNA". It matches the Rfam family "Bacterial small subunit ribosomal RNA", at positions 28 to 507 of the family's 1533-position model. The record is from RNAcentral.
GACGAACGCUGGCGGCGUGCUUAACACAUGCAAGUCGAACGGAAAGGCCCUGCUUUUGUGGGGUUCUCGUGUGGCGAACGGGUGAGUAACACGUGAGUAACCUGCCCUUGACUUUGGGAUAACUUCAGGAAACUGGGGCUAAUACCGGAUAGGAGCUCCUGCUGCAUGGUGGGGGUUGGAAAGUUUCGGCGGUUGGGGAUGGACUCGCGGCUUAUCAGCUUGUUGGUGGGGUAGUGGCUUACCAAGGCUUUGACGGGUAGCCGGCCUGAGAGGGUGACCGGCCACAUGGGGACUGAGAUACGGCCCAGACUCCUACGGGAGGCAGCAGUGGGGAAUAUUGCACAAUGGGCGGAAGCCUGAUGCAGCAACGCCGCGUGCGGGAUGACGGCCUUCGGGUUGUAAACCGCUUUCGCCUGUGACGAAGCGUGAGUGACGGUAAUGGGUAAAGAAGCACCGGCUAACUACGUG